RNAcentral lists this ribosomal RNA (253 nucleotides) under uncultured prokaryote. Its description in RNAcentral is "partial 16S ribosomal RNA". It matches the Rfam family "Bacterial small subunit ribosomal RNA", at positions 524 to 776 of the family's 1533-position model. The record is from RNAcentral.
AACGUAGGAGGCGAACGUUGUCCGGAAUAACUGGGCGUAAAGCGCAUGUAGACGGCAUGAUAAGCCAAAUGUGAAAUGUAGGGGCUCAACCCCUACACGGCGAUUGGAACUGUCAAGCUUGAGUGCAGGAGAGGCAAAUGGAAUUCCCAGUGUAGCAGUGAAAUGCGUAGAGAUUGGGAGGAACACCAGUGGCGAAGGCGAUUUGCUGGACUGCAACUGACGUUGAGAUGCGAAAGCCAGGGGAGCAAACGGG